Molecule: transfer RNA, 72 nt
Filed under: Fidelibacterota bacterium
Lineage: Bacteria; Pseudomonadati; Fidelibacterota
Description: tRNA-Gly
Rfam family: tRNA
About the family: Transfer RNA (tRNA) molecules are approximately 80 nucleotides in length. Their secondary structure includes four short double-helical elements and three loops (D, anti-codon, and T loops).
Source: RNAcentral
GCGGGAGUAGCUCAGUGGUAGAGCUCCACGUUGCCAACGUGGUUGUCGCGAGUUCGAACCUCGUCUCCCGCU